Molecule: ribosomal RNA, 513 nt
Filed under: uncultured bacterium
Lineage: Bacteria
Description: bacterial SSU rRNA
Rfam family: Bacterial small subunit ribosomal RNA
Source: RNAcentral
GACGAAACGCUGGCGGCGUGCCUAACACAUGCAAGUCGAACGGAGAAGUUGAUUUCGGUUGACUUCUUAGUGGCGAACGGGUGAGUAACGCGUGAACAACCUGACCUCAAGAGGGGGGAUACCAACGAGAAAUCGUUGUUAAUACCGCAUAAGACCACAGCGCCGCAUGGCAAAGGGGUCAAAGGAGCAAUCCGCUUGAGGAGGGGUUCGCGUCCCAUUAGGUAGUAGGCGGGGUAACGGCCCACCUAGCCAGCGAUGGGUAGCCGAGCUGAGAGGCUGAACGGCCACACUGGAACUGAGACACGGUCCAGACUCCUACGGGAGGCAGCAGUGGGGAAUAUUGGGCAAUGGGCGCAAGCCUGACCCAGCAACGCCGCGUGAGGGAAGAAGGUUUUCGGAUUGUAAAGCUCUGUCUUCAAGGACGAAUGUAGAUAUUGUGAAUAAUGAUAUUUAAUGACGGUACUUGAGGAGGAAGCCACGGCUAACUACGUGCCAGCAGCCGCGGUAAAACGU